Molecule: ribosomal RNA, 464 nt
Filed under: uncultured bacterium
Lineage: Bacteria
Description: bacterial SSU rRNA
Rfam family: Bacterial small subunit ribosomal RNA
Source: RNAcentral
CCUACGGGGGGCAGCAGUAGGGAAUCUUCCGCAAUGGACGCAAGUCUGACGGAGCAACGCCGCGUGAGUGACGAAGGUUUUCGGAUCGUAAAACUCUGUUGUGAGGGAAGAACAAGCACCAAGUAACUACUGGUACCUUGACGGUACCUCACCAGAAAGCCACGGCUAACUACGUGCCAGCAGCCGCGGUAAUACGUAGGUGGCAAGCGUUGUCCGGAAUUAUUGGGCGUAAAGCGCGCGCAGGCGGUCCCUUAAGUCUGAUGUGAAAGCCCACGGCUCAACCGUGGAGGGUCAUUGGAAACUGGGGGACUUGAGUGCAGAAGAGGAAAGUGGAAUUCCACGUGUAGCGGUGAAAUGCGUAGAGAUGUGGAGGAACACCAGUGGCGAAGACGACUUUCUGGUCUGUAACUGACGCUGAGGCGCGAAAGCGUGGGGAGCAAACAGGAUUAGAUACCCUGGUAGUC